Long non-coding RNA from Macaca fascicularis (crab-eating macaque), 5537 nucleotides. The record is from Ensembl. Lineage: Eukaryota; Metazoa; Chordata; Mammalia; Primates; Cercopithecidae.
UUUUUCUUGUACUACAGUACUAGCUGAUGUCUCCUGUACAAUGUUGAGUAAAACCAACUAUGGUGUACCAUUUGCCUUGGCCUUGACAUUGAAGGGAGUUCUUUAACAUUUUACCAUUAGCUGCUGUUCUUGAUGUAGGUAUUUUGUAUAUAAUCUUUAUAAUAAUAUGAAAGUUUCCUUAUUACUAGUUUGUAAGGAGAUUUUAUCAUAAACGGAUGUUAUCUUACUUAAUGAUGUGUUUGCAUCUUUGGAAAGAUGUUUUUUCUCCAUGAAGUUGAUAAUGUGUUGAUAUAUCUGUUUCACGAAUUACAUUGACUCAUAACUUUACUGUCCUUGACUGGGUUGCAAAUCAAAUAAACAGCAACAGUUUAUCUUUGUUUACAGUUUUGCUAUUUUGUUCAUCACGGAAUUUUUUUGCAUUAGUUUUGAUUUUUAAAAAUAUUACAUUUUUUUAAUCUCAAGUUCUGGGUUUGUUGGUGCUCCCUUAAUUACUGUACCUGAGACAGGUGGCUACAUGCUGAUCCAGCCCUGGAGACAGCUUGGUCCAGGCCGAGUCUUUCUCUUGGUCUCCUGUGCCUGUGGAGGCUCCGAUGUACUGGAGCUGGGCAGAUGCCACCAGGCAGAGGAUAGCUUUUGUCCUAGCUCUUGUUAAAGUGUUCUCGUUUUUUAUUAAUCCUCUGAGCAUUUCUUCCUUUCUUGAUAGCUCCAAAGUGCCUUUAAAGAGACAGUUUUAAUAUUUUAUCCAGCUGUCUUUGUUAUUCUCCUCCAGAGCCUCAUUCAAUGUAUUUAUCCCAUUGUGCCUCCAGAAAUGAUACUCUGGAAUGUUUAUUACUGUGAGAUAUAAAAACCUGAGUUGUCUGCUGAGCCAAGCCAGUGCCUGAUGGCUGGCGCCUGGGUUACUUGAUUCCACUGUGAGGCAACCAGACUGUCCCAGUUAACUUUACCAGGAGUAAUGCUGAGAGGUCAUCCUGCUUGGGAAAUGGCACAAACACAGAAACUCAUUCCAAAUGGCCAACUUUUAAAAAUUGGAUUUGUUCUUCAAGGACAGCUAAUGCCUUUAUAAUCCAGGCACAGUUCCAAGAGUUUUUAUAUGGUAACUCGCUAAAUUCUCACAACCAUCCUAUGUGAUAGAUACCAUUAUUAUCAGCUCCCUUUUUGCAGAGAAGGAAGACAGGACUGGAAGUUCGCUCACUUGCCUGUGGUCACAUGGGCAGAAAUUGGGCAGCCAGGAUUUGAGCUAGUUUUGCUUCCAAUUCUAUGGUUGUAAACACUAUAGCUAUUGCCUUUUAGGGUUGCAGAAUGAACUGUGGUUAGUGAGUGGUAGCACACACCAAUGGUCAACAAAGAGUUGUUGUAUUAACCCAGUUUCCUGUCUCCUGCAGUGGCUCCUGUGAGUAGAACAUGUAAAAGUUAUAGUCCGUGUGUCCACAGCUAGCUAUCAGUUCAUGCCCUAAAUAGGUUAAUUGCUCUCUGUAAGGAUUUUUACCAGAGUAAAACCACCUCAUAUGUCGUUUGCAUUCAAAACAUAUUGAUGACUCUUGAAGGAGCUGGGAUUAUCUGAACAUUGAUUAUGUGUAUGUGUUUCUUUAAUUACUCCUUGCUUUCUUAAGGGAGCCUUUUUAUCAAUAGUAGCCAUCAACUGUAUUAAUUCCCAAGUGUGCCCCACUUAAGCUUGCAAACAAUAUGUAACAACAUAGACAAAUCACUUCAGUUAGCUUUGAAAUGGCUUUGAUGGGUUAAGCAGACCAUAUUCUAGAGUUUUAUAUCCCUUGUGUUCUACAAUUGAAUUUAGUUCCAGGAUUGUAUUGAACAAAUACAAACUUUCAUCUUAUAUAAUGAUACCUGGCUUACAUAGAAUUAAUUUGGUUAUUUUUUCUGGUUUCUUUUGAAAGAAGUAUUGGCAUAGGGCUCAGGAAUGUAAAAGACUAAAAAGAAUUGGACCAAAAGAAACAUGAAAGUCAUGACUUUCACUAUUCCCUCCUCUUUUUUUUUUGUUUUUUAAAAAAAGGCUAUAUUUCUCCUUAAAAUAUGUGAAAAUUUGCUACUUUUUGAAAUCAUAAUAAAAAUAUUUCAGCUUGGAAUUCUUUCUUAUCAUUCUCCUUUUUCUUCUUUGUGAUUAAUUUAGUACUAUCUUAGGCAAGAUACAUUUACAGAAAAAUUUUUUCUUUGUCAAGAAAGAAUCGAAUUAUGGAUUUAAAAUGUAUUUCUUGCAUCAGUUGAAAGAACAUCAAGUGCUUCAAUAACGGAAUUGACAAAUGAUGGAUCUACCUAUUGAUAGUAGUUUGGAUUCCCUGGGAAGUAAUCUCUAAGGUGGGGACCAGUGGGCAUGAAGUUUUUAGGGAAGACCCCUGGGACCAACCCAUGUGGAAGGGAGGGCAGGAAGCAUAGUGAGGCAGAAGGAGAAGCUGGGCUCUGUUGCAGUCUCAAAAAGGCCUCAGCCGGCCCCAUGGACACCCGAGGAUGACUCUUCAGAGUUGCUCUGAUUUGGGGCAAGGCUGUAGGCCUUCAUCCUCUUCCUUCAACCAACUGGACAAGGGGCAUGCGAGGAGAGGGAGUGAGGCUUUGGAUCAGGCAUUUCUCUUUAGUUAAUGCAAUUCCAGAAGAACCGACUGCUGCAGCACUCCUGGACCCUGCAGAGUAAGCACUUCAUUCUGCAGGAGGAUCUGACAGCACACUGCAGCUCCACUCUGCUAUUCACUUUUUUAGUUCUGGCUGUCUUGCAAAAGCCAAUGUUCCCCCUGUUUUUUGUGUGCCACUCUCUCCUUUGAGCAUAGAACCCCCAUCCAUUCUAAUCACCCACCUGUGCAUUUUUAUUCCUGUUGCUUCUCAGGCUUCUCACUUUGCAAAUUCUGUAUUUACUACUCCUCCAGGUCCAGUUCAAGAGACUUCUCCAGGGAGACUUCCAUCACGUCUCCAGCUGUCACCAAUUGCCCAUGACAUUCACUAUUUAAUAAUUUGGAACUCAUCAUGAGAUAUCUCAAUAUAUAUCGUGUAUUUUGUUUCCAUCUGUAUGUUUUUUUCUUUCUCUAAAUUAUAGCAAGACUGUGAUGGUUCCAGAUUGUUUACAAUCUAAUAAGGAAAUAAGCCCUUUGUUUUUCAUGUUUUCUGGCAUUUUGUAAUAUACGCAUUAGAGGCUCAAAAAUACUUGUUAUUAAGUGGAUCUCUACUUAGCUUCUUGGCCAAGAAUGUAGAGUGUGUAGCAAAUGUGUUGAAUCACUGUUUUAAUUUCAUAGUUUUAGAUUUUAUUUAUGCCUAUCUCUUCUGACAUCCCAGAUUUACUAAUCAUUCACUCGACAAAUAUGAAUUGAAGUCUGUUGUGUUCUGACACUGUUGUGAGCAAAGGGGAUAUGGUGGUGAUGUAGCUUGACUCUGUCCCCACCCAAAUCUCAUCUUGAAUUGUAGCGCUCAUAAUUCUCAUGUGGUCUGAGAGGGACCCAGUGGGAGAUAAUUGAAUCAUGGAGGCAGUUUCCCCUGUACUGUUCUCAUGAUAGUGAAUAAGUCUCACGAGAUCUGACGAUUUUAUAACGAGUUUCCCCUUUUGCUUGGCUCUCAUUCUCUCUUGCCUGCCACCAUGUAAGAUGUACCUUUCACCUUCCAUCAUGAUUGUGAGGCCUCCCCAGCCAAGUGGAACUGUGAGUCCAUUAAACCUCUUCUUCUUUAUAAAUUACCCAGUCUUGGGUACAUCUUUAUCAGCAGCAUGAGAACUGACUAAUAAAGGUGGUGAACAAGACAAGGGACUUGCCAUCACAGAGAUUAAAUUCUGAUGAGAGGCAGAUAAUGCAACUGAAACAGAGAUGAGCAAGAUGGUUACACAAUGUGAUAGCUGCUAUGGCAGCAAUAAACAUAGUGCAGAGAUGAAAUAUGCCACUGAGGUCUGGGACGAGGUGAUAUCACCUUCAGAAGAAAAUGAUUUUGCUAUGACCCAAGAAAGAAGACAAGCAUUUCAGGCAGAAGGAAAGGAAUUCAGGAGGCAGAAAGAACUCCAUGUCCUUUGAGAAAUGCAAGAGUUCAGAGGGGUUAGACGGUAGUUUGCUCAGGGGAACAUGGUAAUGGAUGAGGUUGGAGAAGGUGUCAGUCAGGGCAAAAGGGUUGAAUUUUAUCCUAGGAGUAGUGGGAAGUCAGAGAAGAGUGAAAGUUUAUUGUCAUUGUUACUUGUUUGUUUAAAAUAGAGGACAGAGGCAGAUCUGCCAUGAAACUAAUGAAGCUUAAGCUUCAGGACCUACCACUUGUGUGAGUCCUUUUAAGAAAGUGGGAGGUGGCUCAUGCCUAUAAUACCAGCACUUUGGGAGGCUGAGGUGGGCAGAUCAUGAGGUUAGGAGAUUGAGACCAGCCUGACCAACAUGGUAAAACCCCAUCUCUACUACAAAUACAAAAAUUAGCCAGGUGUGGUGGUGCACUCCUGUAAUCCCAGCUACUCAUGAGGCUGAAGCAGGAGAAUCGCUUGAACCCUGGAGACAUAGGUUGCAGUCAACUGAGAUCAUGCAACUGCACUCCAGCCUGGGCAACAGAGCAAGACCGUGUCUCAAAACAAACAAACAAAACAAACCUGGGAGGAACUGUGGCUUUCGUAGCUUUGUAUGUGUUCAAGGUCAUGGUUUUAUAAAAUUGGCAAUUGUUUCGGAUCACUCUCUUUUUCCAUUCUGACAUCCCUUCCAUCACACUCCCUUUUGUGGAGUGACAUUGGAGUGGCCAUGGUUAUUUUUCAUAUUUGGCUCCAAGGAAGUCAAAACAUCUAGCUUGCGCAUGGUGAAAUACAGUUAUAUGGCUCAUAGACAUUUCUGUGUUUGGCUAAUGUUGUUAGCCAUCUUAGUAUAGGUGCUGCUUACCCAGUAUUAUGACAUGAAGGUGUAUGACAAUUGGUUUUCAUUGCAAUGUGAGUGUGUCUUACAGCACCCAGCCCUAGGAGUAAGCAGGUAGUGGAAAGGAAAAGGUUUAAGGUAUAUGUGGUGAAUGCUAGUCCAUGGAACAUUCUAGUCAUCAGAUGCAUACAAUUCUAAGCAGAGGAUUUAUUCUCUUUUUAUACUUACCUUUUAGGAUAACAAAGCACAAUUAUAAAUGCCAAUUUUUUCCUUUUCAAAUAAGAAUUAUGUAAAAUAGAACUUAGAAUUCUUGUGUUUGCAUGAUAAGCAGUGAGGAUAUGUGUGUGUAUGUGUAUGUGUGAAGUUGCAUGUUAAAUUAUCAAUACAAAAAAUCUAUAUUAAAAAGCAAAUUUCAUCCGACCACACUACAAGACUGAAUUACCUUUCUGUUAUCUGUGUAGGAAAUGAUAUUACAAAAAAGUGUUAUAUGAGGAUGUAAUCAAAGGCGGUGCAGUGAGAAAUUUAAAUAAAACAUGUCAUAGUAGUGUGCCCAAUGGAUAAUUUAUAAAAAUGGCAUAUUGCUUUUCUAUAUAUUUACUUUUGUAUUUAACUUUAUAUUUAUUUUGGGGUUCUUUGUCUUUAAGAACUCCCUUCCCCAAUUUUAUAAGCUUCCAGCCUCACAAAGCCUGGAUCCAUCUCUGAUGGAAAUGAUGCCGUGAUCUGAUUUCUAUUUUAUGA